AGAGAGUGCAAGCGUUAAUCGGAAUUACUGGGCGUUAAAGCGCACGUAGUGGGGUACUUAAGUCGGGAUGUGAAAGCCCCAAGCUUAACUUGGGAAUUGCAUUCGAUACUGGGUACCUAGAGUAUGGUAGAGGGAAGUGGAAUUUCCGGUGUAGCGGUGAAAUGCGUAGAUAUCGGAAGGAACACCAGUGGCGAAGGCGGCUUCCUGGACCAAUACUGACACUGAGGUGCGAAAGCGUGGGGAGCAAACAGGAUUAGAGACCCUGGUAGUCCACGCCGUCAACGAUGAGGAACUACGACGUUGGGAAGGUUUACUUCUUGGUGUCGAAGCUAACGCGAUAAGUUCUCCGGCCUGGGGAGUACGGCCGCAAGGUUAA
Molecule: ribosomal RNA, 376 nt
Filed under: uncultured organism
Description: partial 16S ribosomal RNA
Rfam family: Bacterial small subunit ribosomal RNA
Source: RNAcentral